CCUACGGGAGGCAGCAGUGGGGAAUAUUGGGCAAUGGGCGAAAGCCUGACCCAGCAACGCCGCGUGAAGGAAGAAGGCCUUCGGGUUGUUAACUUCUUUUGACAGGGAAGAGCAGAUGACGGUACCUGUCUAAUAAGCCACAGCUAAUUACGUGCCAGCAGCCGCUGUAAUACGGAGGGCGCAAGCGUUAUCCGGAUUUACUGGGUGUAAAGGGCGUGUUGCCGGGCUUACAAGUCAGAUGUGAAAUCCGGGGGCUCAACCACCGUACUGCAUUGGAAACUGUUGGUCUUGAGUGUGCGGAAGGCAGGCGGAAUUCGUGGUGUAGCGGUGAAAUGCGUAGAUAUUAGGAAGAACCCCAGUGGCGAAGGCGGCCUGCUGGACGACAACUGACGGUGAGGCGCGAAAGCGUGGGGAGCAAACAGGAUUAGAUACCCUAGUAGUC
This 442-nucleotide ribosomal RNA is filed under the name uncultured bacterium. RNAcentral's name for it is "partial 16S ribosomal RNA". It matches the Rfam family "Bacterial small subunit ribosomal RNA", at positions 338 to 795 of the family's 1533-position model. The record is from RNAcentral.